This 256-nucleotide ribosomal RNA is filed under the name Marteilia refringens. RNAcentral describes it as "partial 18S ribosomal RNA". It matches the Rfam family "Eukaryotic small subunit ribosomal RNA", at positions 1 to 243 of the family's 1831-position model. The record is from RNAcentral. Lineage: Eukaryota; Endomyxa; Ascetosporea; Paramyxida; Marteiliidae.
UUGCCUAGAAUUGUGGUCGAUCCCGCCACCCCUCUGAACUAGCGUUCGAGACUAAGCCAUGCAAGUGUAAGCUCAAGACCUCUCGUAGGUCGAAGCCGCAGACGGCUCCGUACAAGGCAGUUAAUCUACGGUCCAGCGAAAAAUCUACGGAUAUCUCUGGUAAGCUAGAGCCAAUACGUGUUACCAAUUCUCCGUGAGUCCUUCGGGGCGAGCGGGGUGCAGUUAUCGGAACGAGGUAGCGUGCUUCGGCGCGCAA